GGACUACAAGGGUAUCUAAUCCUUUUUGCUCCCCACGCUUUCGUCCCUCAGUGUCAGGGUCGCCCCAGCAAAUUGCCUUCGCUUUUGGUGUUCCCGAUGAGAUCAACGGAUUUCACCCCUACUCCAUCGGUUCCAUUUGCCUCUAACGCCCUCUGAGUUCGGCAGUAUUCAAAACAGCUCAAAGGUUAAGCCGAUGAGGUUUAAUCUUGAACUUACCGAACCACCUACGGACCCUUUACGCCCAAUAAAUCCGGGUAACGCUUGGGGUCUCUGUAUUACCGCGGCUGCUGGCAC
RNAcentral lists this ribosomal RNA (294 nucleotides) under uncultured bacterium. RNAcentral's name for it is "partial 16S ribosomal RNA". The record is from RNAcentral.